This 72-nucleotide small RNA is filed under the name Roseomonas mucosa. RNAcentral describes it as "Makes More Granules Regulator RNA (mmgR)". It matches the Rfam family "Makes More Granules Regulator RNA (mmgR)". Rfam says of the family: SuhB later renamed mmgR (makes more granules regulator) was a putative non-coding RNA found multiple times in the Agrobacterium tumefaciens genome and related alpha-proteobacteria. Other non-coding RNAs uncovered in the same analysis include: speF, ybhL, metA, and serC. Lineage: Bacteria; Pseudomonadati; Pseudomonadota; Alphaproteobacteria; Acetobacterales; Roseomonadaceae. The record is from Rfam by way of RNAcentral.
UGAGGCUGCAUUUCUUGGACGUUUCCUCCCUAAACUUGGCGGCUCCUCGGAGCCGCCUUUCUUUUUUCGGCU